GUUGUUGCGGUUAAAAGCUCGUAGUUGGAUUUCUGUCUGUGAGUGAAAGUCCGCUCUCAGUGGUUGUACUUUUCGCGCCACCGGCAUCUUCCUGGGGAUUAUGUCUGCUCUUUGUUGAGUGGCGUAUAAUCCAGGACUUUUACUUUGAAGAAAUGAGAGUGUUUCAAGCAGGCCAUCGCCGUGAAUACGUUAGCAUGGAAUAAUAGCAUCGGACCUCGUUCCAAAGCUGUUGGUUUCUUGGACCGAGGUAAAGGUGAAUAGGGAUUGUUGGGGGCAUUCGUAUUUAACUGUCAGAGGUGAAAUUCUUGGAUUUGUUGAAGACGGACUACUGCGAAAGCAUCUGCCAAAGAUGUUCUCAUUGAUCAAGAACGAAAGUUAGGUGAUCGAAGACGAUCAGAUACCGUCCUAGUCUUAACCAUAAACUAUGCCGACUGGAGAUCGGGGGUCGUUAACUUUGUGACGCCCUCUGCAUCUUGAGAGAAA
Molecule: ribosomal RNA, 483 nt
Filed under: uncultured Syndiniales
Lineage: Eukaryota; Dinophyceae; Syndiniales
Description: SSU rRNA
Rfam family: Eukaryotic small subunit ribosomal RNA
Source: RNAcentral